UGGGGAAUAUUGCACAAUGGGCGCAAGCCUGAUGCAGCCAUGCCGCGUGUAUGAAGAAGGCCUUCGGGUUGUAAAGUACUUUCAGUCGGGAGGAAGGUGGUAAGGUUAAUAACCUCAUCGAUUGACGUUACCCGCAGAAGAAGCACCGGCUAACUCCGUGCCAGCAGCCGCGGUAAUACGGAGGGUGCAAGCGUUAAUCGGAAUUACUGGGCGUAAAGCGCACGCAGGCGGUCUGUCAAGUCGGAUGUGAAAUCCCCGGGCUCAACCUGGGAACUGCAUUCGAAACUGGCAGGCUAGAGUCUUGUAGAGGGGGGUAGAAUUCCAGGUGUAGCGGUGAAAUGCGUAGAGAUCUGGAGGAAUACCGGUGGCGAAGGCGGCCCCCUGGACGAAGACUGACGCUCAGGUGCGAAAGCGUGGGGAGCAAACAGG
RNAcentral lists this ribosomal RNA (429 nucleotides) under Chloroflexota bacterium. RNAcentral's name for it is "Chloroflexi bacterium partial 16S ribosomal RNA". It matches the Rfam family "Bacterial small subunit ribosomal RNA", at positions 355 to 776 of the family's 1533-position model. Lineage: Bacteria; Bacillati; Chloroflexota. The record is from RNAcentral.